Molecule: unclassified non-coding RNA, 290 nt
Filed under: Hevea brasiliensis (rubber tree)
Lineage: Eukaryota; Viridiplantae; Streptophyta; Magnoliopsida; Malpighiales; Euphorbiaceae
Source: RNAcentral
AAAAAAAAAAGUGGAUUUGGCUCUUCAGUUUCCUGCAAAAGAUUGGAUUACAGGCAGAGGCACAUACACCCUGAUUUCUUAACUUUCAACAAGAGAUAAGCCUGCUAUCUUUUAUGGUACAGAAACUCAUAAAAAUUAGCCAACAAUACUAAUCUACAUAGAAAAGAUAAUGCAAAGACUAAAAUAAUACCAAAAAAAUGAUCCCAUAUAUGGGAUAUAUUGACUAUUUGAUUUUGAGGAAGAACAUUGCAAAUGAUAUUCAAAACACAAAUGGGAUCACUCCAAUAAAU